UUCGGCGCGUGGCUUUCUCAACCUCCGACUCUCUCUCUCUUAACCUUCUCGCUACCGAUUCCUCUACUGCAUCCAGAAGUGCACGGUAGUGUCUCUGUCUUUUAUCUGCCAAGCGGUUGAUUCUGUUGAUGAUUACCGGAGGACAAGCGGAGACCGGUGGAGACGACAUUGUUUUGGUGAUUGUGAAGCUUGGCGAGAUCAACAAGAAGAGGAGGACGAGGCUGCUGUAUCGCAGAGAGAUCGAUUGGAGUCGCGAAGGUUGCUGUGGAAGUCGCCAUUUCUCUUCCUCUCUUCCGAGAAUUGUUUCCUGCUUUCAUCACAAACCGGACUGAUGAAUCGAAUCCUCAAAGGUACGUCGUCUUCACAACUCAAUUGAUAGAAAUACUUUUAGCGUUUAUAAACAGAAUAGAUCAAACACAAUGCACAAAAAUCUCACCUAUAUUGUUGUUGAACACCAUAUGAGUCUGGUCAAGAAAACCUCCUGGUUGUAUCUGCGAUGAAUAAUCAUGCGCUUCUUGACCAUUUCUAAAACAAACCAAAAUCCAAAAUCCAAAAUCCAAAACCAUUAGGAAUCAACAGUAAGUAGAGGAAUAGAGAUUAGAGGCAAAAGAGAACGGGUAUACCUGUUUAAGAGCAAAACAUUUGAAGGAUAUUGAGCUUGAACAGCCAUGGAGAAAGGAAUUGUUUGAAGAAAUUGGGCGUGUUUAUGGAGAUUGGGAAUGAAGGAUGAUGAUAGAUAGCAAUAAUAAUAACAAUAAUGAAAGGUAGCAUAAGAGAAGCAUGAAAGACAAGGAAGAUGCUCAAGUGUUUAGACUAGACGAACUGUUGAAUAGGAGAGAGAAAGAUAAUGAAUUCAUGUCUUAAUCCUCUUCACCAUUCUUGCCUUCCUCACCAUCUUUUUCACCUACUUUUUCUUCCUGGUUUGGUUUUAUGAUGCUUUUCUUUACCUUUCAAACAACAAAAUUUGUUUUUAUUUUGAAUGGUAAUUACAAAUCUCUUCCUUUUUCUCCCUCCUCUGGUUACGUGUGAUAUAUAUAGGGAUGGGGAAAUAAAGAAAGGUAAAGAUAGAGAGAGAGAGAGAGAUGAGAUUGAAAGGAAUCAGUCCAACAGAGACACGCCCUGUUGCCCUUAUUAUUCUUCUCUUCUCGUGGGGUUGGAAUUGGUAUUGCUAUUACCUUUUCUCGAGAGAUUACUAUCUUUCAUCAUCUUUGAAAAAAUCCUUUUAUUUUAUGUUUUUUUUAAACUUUCCCAUCUGUCCAAACUGAUUUUCAUGUUUAUUUUUCUCCCGAUUUUUCCUCGCCAAAAUAGAUUGAUUAACAAGUAAUGAAAGAAGAAGGGAAAAAAAAAAAAAAAAAAAA
Long non-coding RNA from Cucurbita moschata (crookneck pumpkin), 1358 nucleotides. RefSeq lists it as uncharacterized. The transcript is spliced from 2 exons. Lineage: Eukaryota; Viridiplantae; Streptophyta; Magnoliopsida; Cucurbitales; Cucurbitaceae. The record is from RefSeq and is a predicted model, not a curated record.